AUUGAACGCUGGCGGCAUGCUUAACAUAUGCAAGUCGAACGGUAACAGGUCUAGCUUGCUAGAUGCUGACGAGUGGCGGACGGGUGAGUAACGCGUGGGAAUCUGCCUUCUAGUGGGGGAUAGCCCGGAGAAAUCCGGAUUAAUACCGCAUACGCCCUACGGGGAAAGCCGGGGAUCUUCGGACCUGGCGCUAGUAGAUGAGCCCGCGUGAGAUUAGCUUGUUGGUGGGGUAAUGGCCUACCAAGGCAACGAUCUCUAGCUGGUCUGAGAGGACGAUCAGCCACACUGGGACUGAGACACGGCCCAGACUCCUACGGGAGGCAGCAGUGGGGAAUAUUGGACAAUGGGCGAAAAGCCUGAUCCAGCAAUGCCGCGUGUGUGAAGAAGGCCUGAGGGUUGUAAAGCACUUUCAAUCGUGAAGAAAAGUUGCAGGCUAAUACCCUAGUGACCUUGACGUUAACGAUACAAGAAGC
RNAcentral lists this ribosomal RNA (473 nucleotides) under uncultured bacterium. RNAcentral describes it as "bacterial SSU rRNA". It matches the Rfam family "Bacterial small subunit ribosomal RNA", at positions 30 to 491 of the family's 1533-position model. The record is from RNAcentral.